RNAcentral lists this non-coding RNA (245 nucleotides) under Ligilactobacillus equi. Its description in RNAcentral is "Lactobacillus equi T-box sequence". It matches the Rfam family "T-box leader". From Rfam's summary of the family: Uncharged tRNA acts as the effector for transcription antitermination of genes in the T-box leader family. T-boxes are found upstream of many aminoacyl-tRNA synthetase genes and some amino acid biosynthetic genes usually in Gram-positive bacteria. The anticodon of a specific tRNA base pairs to a specifier sequence within the T-box motif, and the NCCA acceptor tail of the tRNA base pairs to a conserved bulge in the T-box antiterminator hairpin. Lineage: Bacteria; Bacillati; Bacillota; Bacilli; Lactobacillales; Lactobacillaceae. The record is from RNAcentral.
ACAAAGACAUCGAAUAGAAGAGUAGUAGGACCGCUAUUAGACUAGAGAAUUCUGAUCACCGGCUGUAAGUCAGAAAUAAUAUGUGCUAUGAACCACAUCUAGGAGUUGUUAAUUUGAACUUUAGUAGGAUUGACCGGUCGUGCCCGUUACUACACAGACUUAUCGCCAAUGGCUGAUAAGUUACUGAGCCUAUUUUCGUGAGAAGAUAGGGCAUUGAGGUGGUACCGUGCGUUUGCGCCCUCUUG